GGCGUAAAGAGUGGUUUAAGAAUUUUUCCCUAUGAACUAAAGUUAAGACCCCAUUAAGCUGUUAUACGCCCUCAUGGGUGGAAUCACCAACAACGAAAGUAACUUUACAGCACCAGAA
This 118-nucleotide ribosomal RNA is filed under the name Euprotomicrus bispinatus. Its description in RNAcentral is "partial small subunit ribosomal RNA". The record is from RNAcentral. Lineage: Eukaryota; Metazoa; Chordata; Chondrichthyes; Squaliformes; Dalatiidae.